This 21-nucleotide non-coding RNA is filed under the name Caenorhabditis elegans. Lineage: Eukaryota; Metazoa; Nematoda; Chromadorea; Rhabditida; Rhabditidae. The record is from RNAcentral.
UUUCAAUAGCGCAUUUUGUGC